RNAcentral lists this ribosomal RNA (367 nucleotides) under uncultured organism. RNAcentral describes it as "bacterial LSU rRNA". It matches the Rfam family "Bacterial large subunit ribosomal RNA", at positions 2099 to 2465 of the family's 2925-position model. The record is from RNAcentral.
CUUUACCAUAGCCUGGAAUUGUGUUCGGGCUUCGCUUACGCAGGAUAGGUGGGAGGCUGUGAAGUUCUGCUUGUGGGCAGAAUCGAGCCAACGGUGAGAUACCACUUUAGCGAGGCUAGAAUUCUAACCCUUACCCGUCAUCCGGGAAGGAGACAGUUUCAGGGGGGUAGUUUGACUGGGGCGGUCGCCUCCUAAAAGGUAACGGAGGCGUGCAAAGGUUCCCUCAGGCUGGACGGAAAUCAGCCGAAGCGUGUAAAGGCAGAAGGGAGCUUGACUGCAAGACCUACAAGUCGAGCAGGGUGGAAACACGGUCUUAGUGAUCCGACGGUGCCGCAUGGAAGGGCCGUCGCUCAACGGAUAAAAGUUA